UACGUAGGGCGCAAGCGUUGUCCGGAAUUAUUGGGAGUAAAGAGCUCGUAGGCGGCCUGUUGCGUCCGCUGUGAAAUCCCGGGGCUCAACCCCGGGCGUGCAGUGGAUACGGGCUGGCUGGAGGCAGGCAGGGGAGAACGGAAUUCCUGGUGUAGCGGUGAAAUGCGCAGAUAUCAGGAAGAACACCCGUGGCUAAGGCGGCUCUCUAGUACGGUACUGACGCUGAGACGCGAAAGCGUGGGGAGCGAACAGG
This 253-nucleotide ribosomal RNA is filed under the name uncultured bacterium. Its description in RNAcentral is "partial 16S ribosomal RNA". It matches the Rfam family "Bacterial small subunit ribosomal RNA", at positions 524 to 776 of the family's 1533-position model. The record is from RNAcentral.